Molecule: non-coding RNA, 28 nt
Organism: Methylomicrobium album BG8
Lineage: Bacteria; Pseudomonadati; Pseudomonadota; Gammaproteobacteria; Methylococcales; Methylococcaceae
Source: Rfam
GUUCACUGCCGUACAGGUAGCUUAGAAA